UAGGGAAUAUUGGACAAUGGGGGCAACCCUGAUCCAGCCAUGCCGCGUGUGUGAAGAAGGCCCUCGGGUUGUAAAGCUCUUUUGUCCGGAAAGAAAAGCUUCGGGUUAAUACCCCGGGGUUCUGACGGUACCGGAAGAAUAAGCACCGGCUAACUUCGUGCCAGCAGCCGCGGUAAUACGAAGGGUGCAAGCGUUACUCGGAAUUACUGGGCGUAAAGCGUGCGUAGGUGGUUGUUUAAGUCUGAUGUGAAAGCCCUGGGCUCAACCUGGGAAUGGCAUUGGAAACUGGGCAGCUAGAGGGCGGUAGAGGGUAGUGGAAUUCCCGGUGUAGCAGUGAAAUGCGUAGAGAUCGGGAGGAACAUCUGUGGCGAAGGCGACUGCCUGGACCAGCACUGACACUGAGGCACGAAAGCGUGGGGAGCAAACA
Molecule: ribosomal RNA, 427 nt
Filed under: uncultured bacterium
Lineage: Bacteria
Description: bacterial SSU rRNA
Rfam family: Bacterial small subunit ribosomal RNA
Source: RNAcentral